GGCCCGUUGGUCUAGGGGUAUGAUUCUCGCUUUGGGUGCGAGAGAUCCCGGGUUCAAAUCCCGGACGGGCCC
Molecule: transfer RNA, 72 nt
Filed under: Ixodes scapularis (black-legged tick)
Lineage: Eukaryota; Metazoa; Arthropoda; Arachnida; Ixodida; Ixodidae
Description: tRNA-Pro for anticodon UGG
Rfam family: tRNA
About the family: Transfer RNA (tRNA) molecules are approximately 80 nucleotides in length. Their secondary structure includes four short double-helical elements and three loops (D, anti-codon, and T loops). Further hydrogen bonds mediate the characteristic L-shaped molecular structure. tRNAs have two regions of fundamental functional importance: the anti-codon, which is responsible for specific mRNA codon recognition, and the 3' end, to which the tRNAs corresponding amino acid is attached (by aminoacyl-tRNA synthetases). tRNAs cope with the degeneracy of the genetic code in two manners: having more than one tRNA (with a specific anti-codon) for a particular amino acid; and 'wobble' base-pairing, i.e. permitting non-standard base-pairing at the 3rd anti-codon position.
Source: RNAcentral